GGUGAGUCGGGUCCUAAGGCGAGGCCGACAGGCGUAGUCGAAUGGAUGAACGGGUGGAUAUUCCCGUACCGGCGGCGUACCGUAAGAGCCGAACGGAUGAGUACUAACCUCCGGUCGCGUGGCGUCGUUCCCUUCGGGGUUCGGGGUCCGCGGUCGUUGGGAGCGUAGUCCUGGUAGGCUAGCGCACAGGGGUGACACGGAAUGGGAGCCGGCCGCGGAGGUGGUUUUCCGUGGUCAAGCACGCAGCCCGUCCCAUAGGCAAAUCCGUGGGACGCAUAGGGUGAGGUGUGAUGAUGGGCGUCCUUUGGACGCGAUAUCCGGUGGUCCAGGCCGUCGAGAAAAGCCUCGGCGCGAGGGGCGUCGCCGCCCGUACCCCAAACCGACACUGGUGGUCAGGUAGAGAAUACCAAGGCGAUCGAGCGAAUCCUGGUCAAGGAACUCGGCAAAUCACUCCCGUGCCUUCGGUAUAAGGGAGACCCCCGGGCGUGAAGAGGCUUGCCCUCGGAGCGUUGGGGGGUGGCACAGACCAGGGGGUAGCGACUGUUUACCAAAAACACAGGUGCAUGCGAAGGCGCAAGCCGCUGUAUAUGCACUGACGCCUGCCCGGUGCCGGAAGGUUAAGAGGAUCCGUCAGCCUUCGGGUGAAGCGGUGAAUUCAAGCCCCGGUAAACGGCGGUGGUAACUAUAACCAUCCUAAGGUAGCGAAAUUCCUUGUCGGGUAAGUUCCGACCUGCACGAAUGGCGUAACGACUUCCCCACUGUCUCGACCAGGAGCUCGGCGAAAUUGCAGUACGAGUAAAGAUGCUCGUUAAGCGCAGAAGGACGAAAAGACCCCGGGACCUUUACUAUACCUUGGUAUUGGCAUUCGGUGUGGAUUGUGUAGCAUAGGCGGGAGGCCGAGAGGCGCGGUCGCCAGAUCGCGCGGAGCCGUAAGGUGAAAUACCGCUCUGUUCGCAUUGGAUGUCUAACCUCGAACAGUCAUCCUGUUCAGGGACAGUGCCUGGCGGGUAGUUUAACUGGGGCGGUUGCCUCCCAAAGAGUAACGGAGGCGCUCAAAGGUCCGCUCAGCCCGGUUGGCAAUCGGGUUUCGAGUGUAAUCGCACAAGCGGGCUUGACUGCGAGAACGACGGUUCGGGCAGGGACGAAAGUCGGAGAUAGUGAUCCGGUGCCGGCGCACGGGCGCGGCAUCGCUCAACGGAUAAAAGGUACCCCGGGGAUAACAGGCUGAUCAUUCCCAAGAGUCCAUAUCGACGGGAUGGUUUGGCACCUCGAUGUCGGCUCGUCGCAUCCUGGGGCUGGAGCAGGUCCCAAGGGUUCGGCUGUUCGCCGAUUAAAGCGGCACGCGAGCUGGGUUCAGAACGUCGUGAGACAGUUUGGUCUCUAUCCUCUGCGCUCGUUGGAAUGCUGAGGAGGCCUGCCCAUAGUACGAGAGGACCUGGGUGGACGAACCUCUGGUAUGCCGGUUGUCACGCCAGUGGCACGGCCGGUUGGCUACGUUCGGAAGGGAUAACCGCUGAAAGCAUCUAAGCGGGAAGCCUGCUCCAAGAUAAGCAUUCCGUGGAACCUUCGAGUUCCUGUAGUCCCCAUGCAGAACACGUGGUCGAUAGGCCGGACGUGGAAGCCCCGCGAGGGGUGGAGCCGACCGGUACUAACGGACGAAAGGCAACACUAA
RNAcentral lists this ribosomal RNA (1672 nucleotides) under human gut metagenome. Its description in RNAcentral is "bacterial LSU rRNA". It matches the Rfam family "Bacterial large subunit ribosomal RNA", at positions 1378 to 2925 of the family's 2925-position model. The record is from RNAcentral.